AAAUUCCCCACGAAUGCCAUAUUUACCAAAAAAAUUACUCCAUGAAUCAAAAGUACCUGGGUAGUGCUUUUUGGGAAGGGAAAUUAUUAGAGUACCUUCAUGUAUUGUUUUUCUUUAAAAAGUAAUAAAUAGAAAUUUUUGGGGCCCACUUGGUAUGUGCAUGACAUCCAACCUGUCAAAACAUAUACACCCAUCCAUUGAAACCACACUAACCAAAAAUCUUUCUAAUCGAAUCACUAGAUGGGCUGCACAUCAAUUUUGAUAUUUUCAAGUAGUGUAUAUUAUAUUUUUAUGGUGUGGCUCAACUUAUGUUUAGAUUGAUCAAAUUUUUUGGUCAUUAUAAACAUCAUGGUGGAUUACAUCUAUCGGACUGGUUAGAUAUCAUACAAAUAUCAUGUGGGCCCCACAAUUUUCUAAAUUAUCACUUUCUACAGAAAAAAGUAUACAAUGGACAUUAUGGUAAUUUCUCCACUUGAAAAGCAUUUCCCUGCCAUUUUGGUUUGUAGAGGCAUUAUUUGGUAAAAUACUAAUUCCUGAGGAAUUCUGCCGUAAAAAUCCCUGUGAAGUAACCCUUCAAAAAUGCUCUCCCUUUUUUUUUUCCCCAUUCAAGUCAUUCAGGUAAAAUGGAAAUAGUGUUCUUUUAGGGCCCGUUUGGAUUGCAAAUUACAGCUGUAAUGUAAUGUAAAAACACCAUCAUUACAAUUUUACAACGUUUGUUUAAAUGCGUAAAUCGGCACGUAAUUCGACAGUCAAAUGCAGAUGUAAAAGGAGACAAAUUAAGGAAUUUGUAAUCAUUACAAUUUUACAUUGUAUUGCAGUGAAAAUCCUGUCCAAACACAGACAUCGUUGUAUUUUUCUUGUUGGUUUGACAUUUCAGUAAUAUAAAAGUAUUCUCAUUACAAUUUUACCACGCCUAGCCAAACACAGAAAUUGUUGGUCAAAUUACCUGUUUUCCAGGAGAUAGGUAUUGUAAUUUGUAAGCAUUGCACUUUUUACAAUACUGUAUGGCCGUAAUUCGCAAUUCGAACAGGCCUUAGGUGAUGGUUGAAUGAUCUGCUGUUUAUUGGGAUGAUUCAAAAAAGGGGAAAAGGAAAAAAAAAAACAAAAAAAAAGGCUGUUUCCUGCUAUUUGUAAAGUCCCUUGUGUUUGCUAAAAUAAUCCUUUUGAAACUCAAUAAUCCUGAAACUCCAUCUCAUUCUUCACAUGCCUUCAUGAUCAGGUUCAAGAAUGAUGUUGACAUAUAGUAAUUGGAUAGCUUUAUUUUUGUAAUAAUGAUCCAUUAAGAACUUAACAUAAAUAUGGUUACAUGAAUGCACUACGAGAGGGAGACACACACCACCCCCCC
This is a long non-coding RNA of Magnolia sinica, 1345 nucleotides long. RefSeq lists it as uncharacterized. The record is from RefSeq and is a predicted model, not a curated record. The transcript has 2 exons. Lineage: Eukaryota; Viridiplantae; Streptophyta; Magnoliopsida; Magnoliales; Magnoliaceae.